RNAcentral lists this ribosomal RNA (490 nucleotides) under uncultured bacterium. Its description in RNAcentral is "partial 16S ribosomal RNA". It matches the Rfam family "Bacterial small subunit ribosomal RNA", at positions 30 to 507 of the family's 1533-position model. The record is from RNAcentral.
AUUGAACGCUGGCGGCAGGCCUAACACAUGCAAGUCGAACGGUAACAGGAAGAAGCUUGCUUCUUUGCUGACGAGUGGCGGACGGGUGAGUAAUGUCUGGGAAACUGCCUGAUGGAGGGGGAUAACUACUGGAAACGGUAGUUAAUACCGCAUAACGUCGCAAGACCAAAGAGGGGGACCUUCGGGCCUCUUGCCAUCGGCUGUGCCCAGAUGGGAUUAGCUAGUAGGUGGGGUAACGGCUCACCUAGGCGACGAUCCCUAGCUGGUCUGAGAGGAUGACCAGCCACACUGGAACUGAGACACGGUCCAGACUCCUACGGGAGGCAGCAGUGGGGAAUAUUGCACAAUGGGCGCAAGCCUGAUGCAGCCAUGCCGCGUGUAUGAAGAAGGCCUUCGGGUUGUAAAGUACUUUCAGCGGGGAGGAAGGGAGUAAAGUUAAUACCUUUGCUCAUUGACGUUACCCGCAGAAGAAGCACCGGCUAACUCCGUG